RNAcentral lists this ribosomal RNA (460 nucleotides) under uncultured bacterium. RNAcentral's name for it is "partial 16S ribosomal RNA". It matches the Rfam family "Bacterial small subunit ribosomal RNA", at positions 338 to 795 of the family's 1533-position model. The record is from RNAcentral.
CCUACGGGCGGCAGCAGUGAGGAAUAUUGGUCAAUGGGCGAGAGCCUGAACCAGCCAAGUAGCGUGAAGGAUGACUGCCCUACGGGUUGUAAACUUCUUUUAUAAAGGAAUAAAGUGAGGCACGUGUGCCUUUUUGUAUGUACUUUAUGAAUAAGAACCGGCUCACUCCGUGCCAGCAGCCGCGGUAAUACGGAGGGUCCGAGCGUUAUCCGGAUUUAUUGGGUUUAAAGGGAGCGUAGAUGGGUUGUUAAGUCAGUUGUGAAAGUUUGCGGCUCAACCGUAAAAUUGCAAUUGAUACUGGCAGCCUUGAGUACAGUUGAGGUAGGCGGAAUUCGUGGUGUAGCGGUUAAAUGCUUAGAUAUCACGAAGAACUCCGAUUGCGAAGGCUGCCUACUAAACUGCCACUGACAUUGAUGCUCGAAAGUGUGGGUAUCAAACAGGAUUAGAUACCCGUGUAGUC